This 406-nucleotide ribosomal RNA is filed under the name uncultured bacterium. RNAcentral's name for it is "partial 16S ribosomal RNA". It matches the Rfam family "Bacterial small subunit ribosomal RNA", at positions 30 to 526 of the family's 1533-position model. The record is from RNAcentral.
AUUGAACGCUGGCGGCAGGCUUAACACAUGCAAGUCGAGCGAGCGGCGGACGGGUGAGUAAUGUAUGGGGAACUGCCCGAUGGAGGGGGAUAACUACUGGAAACGGUAGCUAAUACCGCCUACCAUCCGAUGCGCCCAGAUGGGAUUAGCUAGUAGGUGGGGUAAUGGCUCACCUAGGCGACGAUCCCUAGCUGGUCUGAGAGGAUGACCAGCCACACUGGAACUGAGACACGGUCCAGACUCCUAGGGGAGGCAGCAGUGGGGAAUAUUGCACAAUGGGCGCAAGCCUGAUGCAGCCAUGCCGCGUGUGUGAGGAAGGCCUUAGGGUUGUAAAGCACUUUCAGCGGGGAGGCGUUACUCGCAGAAGAAGCACCGGCUAACUCCGUGCCAGCAGCCGCGGUAAUAC